ACUUGUAGGUCAGAGAGUCAUACACAACACAGCCCCCAAUUGAACAACUCCGUACGCUCGAGCUUACUCCAACUCCCCAUGCUCACACACGCACGUGUCAGUUGACCCAAUCACUAGUUCUUCUUACACAACACAAACAAACCCCCUUUUACUACAACAUUCAAACAAGCCCUAAUCUCUUCCUCAGACAACCUUCAAUUCAGUGAUCCUAUUGUCUCAAUUCUCAGGUUCUCAUAUGGGAAUAUUAUUUAUUUGCUAUUACUACAGUCUUGUCUCUUGGUAUGGUGGCUUUCUUGACCAUAAGAAGUUUGGGAUAAUAUUUGAUGCUUUACUUGGUUGCUUAAAGAGUUAAAGGUCUAUUUUUUCUUUUCAGUCUUUCUAGCUCCUUUGACAUUGUUGUGAGCGUAGCCUGAAGCGUCUCUCUUUAAUAUGCACCUCCUGGUCAACUUACUUGCUUCUAGGGCUCGAGGCUAAUUUCCAAUUUCCAAUACUCAUCCUAUCUUCAGUUGUUGCAGGUGAUUCAGAUGUUAAAUCUGUCUUGCACAUUGCAAAUUACUUUACCUUAUAUGUUCUUUGUGGAAAAAUACUCAUCUGAAUGAUGGAUAUGUAUCCCACAUGUGGUGUGGCUAGGCAUAGAGCACAAUCUUGACGAAUAUUACCAGAUUUGCUUCCUCGGGUCUUCACUUGGAUCCGACCCAGUUUGGUCAUGCCCACAAUAAAGGCUCGCUCAAAAGCUGCGGAGUUGCCAGCCCAGAUGUUAACGAACGGCCUGGAUCUAUAAUCAUUAUAGAGAACCUGAUCAGAGCUGAAGAGCCCCUUGCCCACCUGAAGAUUCUUGUAGUAUUGGUUGUCAAAUUUUCUGGGGGAAACUGGAUCCAUAUCAACAGCUAUUCUUGGGUCAACAUCUAUAGGGCACAUUGAUUGUAACUCAGCCGAGUACUUCCUGCUUAGCGCUGGAUCUACCUUUCUGUUACGGCUGAAAUUGUAUAUGCGAUUUGCAAAUUGGUCACAGUGAGAAAACCCCACUGUGUGAGCAGCUGAGAGAACAAGCAUCUUAUUAGAUUAGCGAUUUUGGAAUCCAGAACAAAGGGCUUAGAGUUUUUGCGACUGUACCUGAUAGAGCAAUCAUAUCCAUUCGGUUUAAGCCAAGUGAAGAAAAAAAGUAAGUGAGCUGAUCCAAAUUGAAGGUAGGCUUUGGGAUCUUCCCAUACACACUUGAAGAAGUGGAUACCAGCCCAUCUAAUCUUCCCAACUCCACUCGGUAUGAAGGUCCACCAGACUGCAUGAAUGUCAUAUAUAGUUACCAUGCUCAUACAUGUGUCAGUAAUAUAAAGAGGAUUGUGGCUCCUAUACUUGAGUGGUAAGCAGUUUAGUUACAAACCAGAGAAAUGACAUCUCGAGUAGCCAUGGCAAGAAUGUCAGCGCAUGAAACUUUGUUUUUGCAACCAGGAACCUCAUCCACUGCAGCUUUAGCUUUUAUCACCGUGUCAUAUCCGUCUCCAGCCAGUGACAGAUUAUCCGGUGUUACCUGGACUAAGCAGUCAUGGAAAAAGAGACGAAGAGUUGCAGGGAUGGUAACAAAGGUUUGGUUAAUUUUUGUUUUGACGACUUCGCGCACAAUAGAUUCCACCUUAGGACACACAUUGGCAUAGUAGUUUGUACUCAGAGCUCCGGAUGCCAAACCGGGGUGGAGGAUCAGCCAGAAACUAACACAAAUCGACAAGGGUACUAAUACUUGGCCACCCAUUGAUGUAAAAUGGCAGACAAAUUAGUAAGUGAUGAGAUAUAAUACACACACAUGUAUAUAUAAAGUUUGUGUUGUGUGGAAGAUGGAAUGAUAGAAAAUACUGAUCCAACAGGUGUGUCGAACUAAAAAUAAUCGCUUAAACUAAGUGAUCAUUAAGGCAGACCUGCUAGAUAGAUAUUACAGACCAAUCUUUACAAGAGAGAAUGGACCAGAAGGUGGUAUGAUACCAAUUAUAUAGGCUGAAUUAGUAAGUGUAUUAAAGUUGUACGUAUGGACAUAAUGCAUGUUUAUUUAUGUGCCUAACUACAUGAACUAGCAGUGUCUUUUUUAUCACUGUGUAAUGAAAUCUUUAACCUUUAUUGUUUUUA
Daucus carota subsp. sativus is the source of this 2115-nucleotide RNA transcript. RefSeq lists it as uncharacterized. The transcript is spliced from 7 exons. Lineage: Eukaryota; Viridiplantae; Streptophyta; Magnoliopsida; Apiales; Apiaceae. The record is from RefSeq and is a predicted model, not a curated record.